RNAcentral lists this ribosomal RNA (469 nucleotides) under uncultured Enterobacteriaceae bacterium. RNAcentral's name for it is "bacterial SSU rRNA". It matches the Rfam family "Bacterial small subunit ribosomal RNA", at positions 916 to 1381 of the family's 1533-position model. Lineage: Bacteria; Pseudomonadati; Pseudomonadota; Gammaproteobacteria; Enterobacterales; Enterobacteriaceae. The record is from RNAcentral.
GACGGGGCCCGCACAAGCGGUGGAGCAUGUGGUUUAAUUCGAUGCAACGCGAAGAACCUUACCUGGUCUUGACAUCCACGGAAGUUUUCAGAGAUGAGAAUGUGCCUUCGGGAACCGUGAGACAGGUGCUGCAUGGCUGUCGUCAGCUCGUGUUGUGAAAUGUUGGGUUAAGUCCCGCAACGAGCGCAACCCUUAUCCUUUGUUGCCAGCGGUCCGGCCGGGAACUCAAAGGAGACUGCCAGUGAUAAACUGGAGGAAGGUGGGGAUGACGUCAAGUCAUCAUGGCCCUUACGACCAGGGCUACACACGUGCUACAAUGGCGCAUACAAAGAGAAGCGACCUCGCGAGAGCAAGCGGACCUCAUAAAGUGCGUCGUAGUCCGGAUUGGAGUCUGCAACUCGACUCCAUGAAGUCGGAAUCGCUAGUAAUCGUGGAUCAGAAUGCCACGGUGAAUACGUUCCCGGGCCUU